AACGAACGCUGGCGGCAGGCCUAACACAUGCAAGUCGAACGCCCUCUUCGGAGGGAGUGGCAGACGGGUGAGUAACGCGUGGGAACGUGCCCAUCGGUAAGGAAUAACUUAGGGAAACUUAAGCUAAUACCGUAUACGCCCUUCGGGGGAAAGAUUUAUCGCCGAUGGAUCGGCCCGCGUUAGAUUAGCUAGUUGGUGAGGUAAUGGCUCACCAAGGCUACGAUCUAUAGCUGGUCUGAGAGGAUGAUCAGCCACACUGGAACUGAGACACGGUCCAGACUCCUACGGGAGGCAGCAGUGAGGAAUAUUCGGCAAUGGGCGCAAGCCUGACCGAGCCAUGCCGCGUGAAUGAUGAAGGCCUUAGGGUUGUAAAGUUCUUUCAACGGUGAAGAUAAUGACGGUAACCGUAGAAGAAGCCCCGGCUAACUUCGUGCCAGCCGCCGCAGUAAGAC
This 452-nucleotide ribosomal RNA is filed under the name uncultured bacterium. RNAcentral describes it as "bacterial SSU rRNA". It matches the Rfam family "Bacterial small subunit ribosomal RNA", at positions 29 to 526 of the family's 1533-position model. The record is from RNAcentral.